Molecule: ribosomal RNA, 809 nt
Filed under: uncultured archaeon
Lineage: Archaea
Description: bacterial SSU rRNA
Rfam family: Archaeal small subunit ribosomal RNA
Source: RNAcentral
ACUGCUCAGUAACACGUGGCUAACCUACCCUCAGGACAGGGACAACCCCGGGAAACUGGGACUAAUACCCAAUAGGCGAGGAUGCCUGGAAUGGUUUCUCGCUCAAAGGACCUUGGAUACAUGCUUCAAAGUCGCCUGGGGAUGGGGCCGCGUCCGAUCAGGUUGUUGGUGAGGUAACGGCUCACCAAGCCUAUAACCGGUACGGGCCGUGAGAGCGGUAGCCCGGAGAUGGGCACUGAGACAAGGGCCCAGGCCCUACGGGGCGCAGCAGUCGCGAAAACUCCGCAAUGCACGAAAGUGUGACGGGGCUACCCCGAGUGCCGUCCGCUGAGGAUGGCUUUUCCUCGGUGUAACUAGCCGGGGGAAUAAGGAGAGGGCAAGACUGGUGUCAGCCGCCGCGGUAAUACCAGCUCUCCGAGUGGUAGGGAUGAUUAUUGGGCUUAAAGCGUCCGUAGCCGGCUUAGCAAGUCUCCUGUUAAAUUCAGCGACCUAAUCGUUGAGCCGCGGGAGAUACUACUAGGCUAGGAGGCGGGAGAGGCCGACGGUACUUCCGGGGUAGGGGUGAAAUCCUAUAAUCCCGGGCGGACCACCAGUGGCGAAGGCUGUCGGCUAGAACGCGCUCGACGGUGAGGGACGAAAGCUGGGGGAGCGAACCGGAUUAGAUACCCGGGUAGUCCCAGCCGUAAACGAUGCGGGCUAGGUGUUGGGGUGGCUACGUGCCACUUCAGUGCCGCAGGGAAGCCAUUAAGCCCGCCGCCUGGGGAGUACGGCCGCAAGGCUGAAACUUAAAGGAAUUGGCGGGGGAGCAC